AUGCGAAUCUGGCCUUCUCACCUGUCUUUCCCUGCACAGGUCCUUACAUCUCCCCUCUGGUUGGAGUGGAAAAUUACCAACAUCACCUGUGCAACAUCAGCGCACAGGUGACCAGUGUGUGAACAGAUGUUUACUAGUAUAAGACUCCCUUUUGCUAACAGAGGUGUUAACUCCCCUGUUUUCAGGGUUAUGUUCCCACAACCAAUGCCAAACAGUACUUUUCUAUAUUUAUGUGUUUCACCAUGGACCAUUAUCUGCUGUCACUGACACAAGGUGGGGAGAAGAGAAUGUCAUCUAUUGUAUAAUUAAAAAACCACUUGUGAAACAAAGAUGAUAUUCCCCUGAAGAUCUAUCAUCUCCUGCCUUAAAUGACUUGUAGAAAAUAAAUUCCAGUGGGACACAAUAAAUCUAAUUAGGAUAAAAUAUAAUUUGUGCUUUUUCCUGGAACAGCAAUUUUGAUGUAGUAUGUGUGAUAACUGCAAACCUGGGCAAAGACUCUGAAAGCAACAAACAACUGUCCCCAUGAAUCUACCAGCCUUUUGUUCUUUAACCUAGGGCUUUCCAGGCUAGCUUUUUCAGGCUAGCACAGUGGCUAUGAAUGCCUGCAUCUGUUAUGUGUGAUUACCUUUAGGGAUCAGUAAUUAGCAACACUGACAAUCAACUGGGAAUUUUUAUGUGUCACUCUAAAGGUGUCCUGGGAACAUGUACACAGCAUUAAAAGAUGAAAGCCAAGCAAUGGGGAGGGAAACUGCAGUGUUGUUUGUAGUAUGUUCCUUAUUUGCUGUUGUUGACCUUGCACCAGCCUCUCUGUUGGUAACCCCAAGAGACAUACUCAGAUGUGAUCCGGAAACAUUCUGCGAGGAACACAAUCUGAAGCCACUCUAGGCCUUUAAAAUCUGAUUUCUAGACUGAUUGAAUAUGCUAUUACCUUUGAUCACUAGCAUUCUGGCCUGCCGGUAAGAGACCCUGGCUGGAGUUUCCUAAUCCAUCCAUCAUUACUUUCUUGAGAGUUUAUUCCAGUGUGAUGCAUUGGUAGGAUUUCUCUGGACAGUAACGCAAGGUGUUUUGUUGCAUUGUGUUGUAUUUUCUUGCCCCCACAUUCAGUCUCUAUCUUCCUCAUUUUGGAUACACUGAAUUCUCCCAGAUCUUCAGAGGGGAGAAGAUUGAAAAGGGAGAUUGAAAAGACAACCUGCUCAAAGCUACCCAGGGAACUCUUAUAUGACAACAGAUAUAUCUGUACCAUGCACAGUCUCUGGGUACAGUAAGUCACCUUGCUGAUUACCUGAAGGUCAUGCCAGCUUGAUGGUGACUUUGAGCAGGUUCAGGGUGGCAGAAAGCAUCUUGAUCUCUACAUAGAGCCAUCACUAUACAAUCCCAAGACCUUGAAGGCAAAGAAUGACUGCCUCCUUAUUAUGGUAUCUUAGAGGCAUCAGUGAUCAUGGAGGAGAAGUUAUGAACAUUGAGAGAUAAAAUGGGUUGCAAAGGUUACAAGGUUGCAAAGGACAUGAAAAAAAAAAACCAAACAACCAAGCUUUAAAUAUUUUAUUCUCCUAAUAACAGUCUCUCUCUCCCAUCCUGAUGAAUGGGAAUUUUUUUCUGCAUUUUCACUUAGUUCUGAUUGUUUGGUGUGGACCUGAUACUGUGGUGCAGCUGUAAGAAAUGAUGCAAAUUCCACUGAUUUAGUGAAGAUAAGGAAGGGGAUGUCUACCUGCUUUAAGUCUAAUCCCCAGCCCUCUCAAGCAUGUGCGUUCUUGGUAGUGUCUGAGGAUGUACCUGCUCAGGCCAGGAACACAGGAGUUAUUUUCAAGACAAGAGGAAGUUAAUGCAUAAGACAAAGUACAACAUUAAAUAUCAGAAGUGCUUUAGUAGGUUGUGGGUAAUAGCAAUGUAAGGUAUUGAUUCAGCAUGCCAGAAAUACUCUCUCUAAAAAGCUUUAACAAUGCUAAAUGCAAGAGAAAUUUCCCCCUAUCAGUAAAAUGAUGGCUUGUACAUGACACCAACCAAACACUGCUGAAACUGCAGAAGAACAGAGCUUUGAAUGACUGCCCCUACAUGUGUUUUCCUUGGAGGCUUCCUACCCAGAGAGCAACUUCAGCUCUGUUUAGAUUUGAGAAAGAUGCAGCUAUUGUGUGAAGCAAUAGCACUCCAGUAUGGAGUAUAGAUAAUCUGUUUUCUACAGCCACAUGUUUUAAAUACCUUUCAUGAGAAUCGUCAUUCCUUUUCACUGGAUUUUAUCAUCAGUCUUUAACAAAACAAGUAUGUGCUUCUAAUGCUUCCCUGAGGAUGCUUUAAAGGAGGAACUUAAACAUAGAAAAGAUCCAGGCCAAUGUUCAGUCAUUGCAUGUGCAUUAGGGUUUUUUGACUAUUCGACGUAGUCAGAGGACAUAUGUGGGAGCCUUUUACUAUGGCUCUGUGUAUUGUGUGUAAACGUUAAUUUUAUUUUUAACAGAUGUAUACGAAUUUUAUCUCUGAAAAAAUGUUAUGCCCUGCUACGGGCACCCGCAAGUCAGAUUAAUGUGUUGAAGUGAAAGAAGAGAGAAGAGAGAGUGAAAGCACUUUACUCAC
Pezoporus occidentalis (night parrot) is the source of this 2565-nucleotide long non-coding RNA. RefSeq lists it as uncharacterized. Lineage: Eukaryota; Metazoa; Chordata; Aves; Psittaciformes; Psittacidae. The transcript has 2 exons. The record is from RefSeq and is a predicted model, not a curated record.